Non-coding RNA from Salmo salar (Atlantic salmon), 89 nucleotides. NCBI's taxonomy places the organism in Eukaryota, Metazoa, Chordata, Actinopteri, Salmoniformes, Salmonidae. The record is from Rfam.
CCUUCGAUAGCUCAGUUGGUAGAGCGGAGGACUGUAGAACGCUAAAUGCUGAAAUCCUUAGGUCGCUGGUUCAAAUCCGGCUCGAAGGA